Molecule: long non-coding RNA, 1554 nt
Organism: Lolium perenne
Lineage: Eukaryota; Viridiplantae; Streptophyta; Magnoliopsida; Poales; Poaceae
Source: RefSeq, a predicted model, not a curated record
UAUGGCCUGGGUGGAUGUAGCAAUUCGUCUCUGGCCCAAUGAAUUUCACAGCGUGUGUAAUUGGGCUUCGUUCAGCGGCUGGUCAAAGCCGUGCUGAGAAUCCCCACUACCGAACGAUUUGAGCGGUCGCCCCACCUCUCCUUCUCUGUCCCAUCCGCUCUCCUCUCCAUUGCCGCCGACCCCGUUCUGCCCGCGGCGCCGAUGCCCGUGCUAGCCCAGAUGGUGCUCCCGUGCGUUUCCCUACGGAUUUAAGUGGGGUGGACGUGCGCCUGCUCGCUGGCUGAGCGGUCGGAUUGGAGGGGUGGAGAGCUCGGGCGGCGCUACGGGCUCUCUUCGUCAUUCACCGGCGGGCAUAUAGCGGUGCUCCAGAUUCCCUCUCCAUAGGACGGGGCUUGCUCCUCUCUCUGGUUGCCGUGGUGCCUACCGAGCCAAUUAUGACAUGGCACGCCCUGGCUUGCCGUUCUGAGGAGGAACUCGGCACCCUAAUCCCCUUCGCCGGCGGCUGGCGGCGCGGUGGAGCCGCUCGGCCCCCUCCUCUCCGUCCGCGGCAGUUGUGCACAUGCGUGCUAGAGGGCUUCAUCGGGCUGCACGACGGUGUCAGACGGCCGUGGUGGCCUCUGUCGUCUGUGGUGCUGACGGUGGUAGUGCUGGGCGAGCGCCAACGGCGGAAGGAUGCAUAGUUGGCCGGCGCGGCCGAGACCGACAUAUGACGACCAUGGGCGGACGGUGGAGUAUAGGCCGUGGGGAGCACGACGAGGGGUCGAGUCUACGCCGUGGAGGACCACGAUGACGACGACUAUAUCCACGCGACUCUUACUGCUGUGUAGUAUGCUUCAGUUGAAUAGAUCAAAACGAGGGGCUGGUCAUGCGUUUCAGAAGAACACGGAUCAAGAACAGGAUGCAGAUUGUGCUCCUGGAAAGCCACCUCAAUGAUCGAUGUACUGGAGGAAGCAUUGGGUUCUUAUCCUGCUCGAGAGACUCUCGAACGAGAGCCACUCAUCAAGGAAACUAUUUCAGCAAGCUCCUACAUUGCUAUCUUCACGUGGUGCUGCUGUGUUUACUCGCGCGUGCUGUGUGGCCGCUGCUCUCUCUUUUGUGUGUGUGUGCUGCAGCAUAUAGCUGCACAUGGUGCUCCCUCCCUCUAGCACAUGUGUUGUUGUUUUGUUCCUCUCUCACACAUAUGGCUGGUGUUGCUGUUCCUCUCUCUCUGAUCUAGAGAAAUUUGUGCAUGCAAAAUUGUUUGAUCAUGUCUAUGAAGCCUAAAAAGUUCAUUUGGGCCUUCUAUUGCAGUUUAUCAAUUGUGAUCUUGUGUAUGUUUUGCUUAGUUCUCGGAUUUAUAAAUGAUGUUUGUUCCUAUCUUUCUCCAUUUAGUAUGACACGAACUCUUAAAAAAAUAUUGGUCUUCUCAGUUGAUUAUUGCUAGGAAGGGUUUGAAGAAAAACAAUGGGCAUGUAAUGUUUAGGUCUUUUAAAGCGCAUGCUAUACUUUUGUGUUGUUCGAAAAAAAAAUGAUAAUUAGAAACCAUAGAUGAUUGACUUUACCUUCUAUUUAUUA